Molecule: microRNA precursor, 170 nt
Filed under: Paramuricea clavata
Lineage: Eukaryota; Metazoa; Cnidaria; Anthozoa; Malacalcyonacea; Plexauridae
Source: RNAcentral
UAUAUAUAUGUUAUUUACCGGCUGCGAGGUCCGGAAAUGGGUCCGGAUGAGAAAAACUGUGCCCGAGGUCUUGAAAACGGCCCGAGCCCGAAGGGCGAGGGACGUUUUCAAGACCGAGGGCACAGUUUUUCUCAUCCGGACCGACGCUGCCGGUAAAUAACGUGUUUAUU